UACAAAGCGUAAAAUCAUUUGCUUCCCAACAGUAUUCAGAGGUUUGUUUGAAACUAGAGAGAGCCGGUAUGAACUAAGGGGAACAGGUGUGUAUAAAAAACCAAAGGUAAGGACAAACAUAAAGAACAGGUGUAUUUGGGUAAAAGGGGUUAACUUGUGGAAUUAAGAAUGUGUAGUUCACUUUCCAGAUUUAAAUUUUUGCUUAAAAAAUGGUGUUUAACAAAUAUAAAAGGUCGGUUUGAUUAUUUUUUGUGAGUGUGACUUCUGUUUUUUUUUUUGUUUGUUUCAUUUGGUUUUUUUUAAAGAAAUUCUUGGAA
Long non-coding RNA from Labrus mixtus (cuckoo wrasse), 317 nucleotides. RefSeq lists it as uncharacterized. The transcript has 2 exons. The record is from RefSeq and is a predicted model, not a curated record. Lineage: Eukaryota; Metazoa; Chordata; Actinopteri; Labriformes; Labridae.